Molecule: ribosomal RNA, 497 nt
Filed under: uncultured bacterium
Lineage: Bacteria
Description: partial 16S ribosomal RNA
Rfam family: Bacterial small subunit ribosomal RNA
Source: RNAcentral
GAUGAACGCUGGCGGCGUGCCUAAUACAUGCAAGUCGAGCGAACAGACGAGGAGCUUGCUCCUCUGACGUUAGCGGCGGACGGGUGAGUAACACGUGGAUAACCUACCUAUAAGACUGGGAUAACUUCGGGAAACCGGAGCUAAUACCGGAUAAUAUAUUGAACCGCAUGGUUCAAUAGUGAAAGACGGUUUUGCUGUCACUUAUAGAUGGAUCCGCGUCGCAUUAGCUAGUUGGUAAGGUAACGGCUUACCAAGGCGACGAUGCGUAGCCGACCUGAGAGGGUGAUCGGCCACACUGGAACUGAGACACGGUCCAGACUCCUACGGGAGGCAGCAGUAGGGAAUCUUCCGCAAUGGGCGAAAGCCUGACGGAGCAACGCCGCGUGAGUGAUGAAGGUCUUCGGGUCGUAAAACUCUGUUAUUAGGGAAGAACAAAUGUGUAAGUAACUAUGCACGUCUUGAUGGUACCUAAUGAGAAAGCCACGGCUAACUACGUG